This 410-nucleotide ribosomal RNA is filed under the name uncultured bacterium. RNAcentral's name for it is "bacterial SSU rRNA". It matches the Rfam family "Bacterial small subunit ribosomal RNA", at positions 957 to 1363 of the family's 1533-position model. The record is from RNAcentral.
UAACGCGAAGAACCUUACCAAAUCUUGACAUCCUUUGAAAACUCUAGAGAUAGAGCCUUCCCCUUCGGGGGACAAAGUGACAGGUGGUGCAUGGUUGUCGUCAGCUCGUGUCGUGAGAUGUUGGGUUAAGUCCCGCAACGAGCGCAACCCUUAAGCUUAGUUGCCAUCAUUAAGUUGGGCACUCUAGGUUGACUGCCGGUGACAAACCGGAGGAAGGUGGGGAUGACGUCAAAUCAUCAUGCCCCUUAUGAUUUGGGCUACACACGUGCUACAAUGGACAAUACAAAGGGCAGCUAAACCGCGAGGUCAUGCAAAUCCCAUAAAGUUGUUCUCAGUUCGGAUUGUAGUCUGCAACUCGACUACAUGAAGCUGAAUCGCUAGUAAUCGUAGAUCAGAAAGUAAAAGGUCUU